RNAcentral lists this ribosomal RNA (500 nucleotides) under uncultured bacterium. Its description in RNAcentral is "partial 16S ribosomal RNA". It matches the Rfam family "Bacterial small subunit ribosomal RNA", at positions 30 to 523 of the family's 1533-position model. The record is from RNAcentral.
AUUGAACGCUGGCGGAAUGCUUUACACAUGCAAGUCGAACGGCAGCACGGACUUCGGUCUGGUGGCGAGUGGCGAACGGGUGAGUAAUGUAUCGGAACGUGCCCAGUCGUGGGGGAUAACGUAGUGAAAAUUACGCUAAUACCGCAUACGAUCUAUGGAUGAAAGCGGGGGAUCGCAAGACCUCGCGCGAUUGGAUCGGCCGAUAUCAGAUUAGGUAGUUGGUGGGGUAAAGGCCCACCAAGCCAACGAUCUGUAGCUGGUCUGAGAGGACGACCAGCCACACUGGAACUGAGACACGGUCCAGACUCCUAAGGGAGGCAGCAGUUGGGAAUUUUGGACAAUGGGCGAAAGCCGGAUCCAGCCAUUCCGCGUGCAGGAUGAAGGCCCUCGGGUUGUAAACUGCUUUUGUACAGAACGAAAAGGUUUCUACUAAUACUAGGAGCUCAUGACGGUACUGUAAGAAUAAGCACCGGCUAACUACGUGCCAGCAGCCGCCGUAA